Molecule: long non-coding RNA, 291 nt
Organism: Mytilus trossulus (common blue mussel)
Lineage: Eukaryota; Metazoa; Mollusca; Bivalvia; Mytilida; Mytilidae
Exons: 3
Source: RefSeq, a predicted model, not a curated record
AUUUAUUCAAGAACGUUCUGCAAAGCGUUCCCGAUUUUAUAUUGGACUAGAGUCAAAGAAUGGCAUUUAUUAUGAGUGGCAAUCUAAAAAUACCACAGAAUCAAACGGGUUUAACGAUUGGAACAAGGGAAAGCCAAAUGACAUUGGAGUUAACACUUGUGCUUUUGUGUUAGAUUUUAAGUGGUAUGACUUAUAUAGCAGCGCUUGCAGGCUUGAUGAUCAUUAUUUUAUAUGUGAAUCAAGGUUUGACUAACUACCAUGACGACAAUGACCAGACAAUGAGAACAUACC